GCGGGCGUAGUUCAGCUUGGCAGAACGUCCCCCUGUCACGGGGAAGGUCGCCGGUUCAAAUCCGGUCGCCCGCG
This 74-nucleotide transfer RNA is filed under the name Candidatus Liptonbacteria bacterium. RNAcentral's name for it is "tRNA-Asp". It matches the Rfam family "tRNA". Rfam says of the family: Transfer RNA (tRNA) molecules are approximately 80 nucleotides in length. Their secondary structure includes four short double-helical elements and three loops (D, anti-codon, and T loops). Lineage: Bacteria; Candidatus Liptoniibacteriota. The record is from RNAcentral.